This is a long non-coding RNA of Dendroctonus ponderosae (mountain pine beetle), 930 nucleotides long. RefSeq lists it as uncharacterized. NCBI's taxonomy places the organism in Eukaryota, Metazoa, Arthropoda, Insecta, Coleoptera, Curculionidae. The record is from RefSeq and is a predicted model, not a curated record. The transcript has 3 exons.
CUGUGUGAAUCGACCAUAGCUUGUCUGCGGCCAGUCUAUCUAAUCAUGAUGAUUUUUAUAGUUCUCUUAUACCGCGUGUACCACGGAAAAGUAACCGACAUAUUUCCAACACCUUUCGGAAAAUAUACCGAGCGAGUAACUUUCAAUUCGGACUUUCGAAACUAUCAAUUACUAGCGCGUCAGUUGAAAAGCGAAAAUUAAAUGAGGAUUUCAAUGAGCUGAAUACUAAAUGGAACAAUGGAGGUACAACUGCAGACCAAUUCAGACUCAGUGCGAAAAGAACACCCAACAAGAACUUGAAUGGGGGCCAAUAUUUUAGAGCAUCGCAUCAAAUAUUGCAAAAAUCAUCGAGAUAAUUUCAAGGCAGCAUACAGUGAGGAGUGGUAACUCCACCACCGUUGGCGUCUUUUUAACAGCCAGCGGUUGAGGAGUUCCUCAACCUCGCGGAUGUUCAUGUGGAGCUUAAAGCUCUCAACCACCAUCUAAAAAUACGGUUUAUUUAUUUAUUGACUAGUUUAUUUUAUAGCAUUAUUAUAUAAACUAGCUUAGGCUGAUUUUUUUCCUUCAUUCGUAAUUGCUGAAAGUUGGUAAUUACUAAGCUACCAAUAGAUGUAAAGUAUUUGCAUCCGCAACACCUGAAAUGUUAGUUAGAAGCUGAUGUAUUAGGUUUUAUUUUCAAUUAUUUUAUUUUAUUAUUCUGUAUUAGGUAUAUAGAUUUUACGAUAGACUGAAACGAAUCAAUUACAUUUGCUUUCUAUAACAGUCUGUACUUUCCUUGUAAAAAAUAUAAUAAACAUAUUUGGUGACCCAAACAGAGCUUCGAGUAUUUAAUUGAUAUUUUAAUAAAUAAAAUAUGAAUGAAUAAACAGAGGGCAUAAAUGAAUUACAAUGAGAAAAUAGAAUGAAUAUGAAUAAAUAUAACAUGAGCCA